UAAACUAGGAUUAGAUACCCUAUUAUUGAAAAUGCAAAUUUGUGAUGCUUGAGUAGUAGUAGUUAUGUUCUUGAAAUUUAAAGAAUCUGGCGGUAUUUUAGUCUAUUCAGAGGAACCUGUCCUGUAAUUGAUAUUCCACGAUUAAUUGUACUUGUUUUUAGUUUGUAUAUCGUCGUAGGUUGAAUGUUUUAAAAGAAAUGGGAAUGUUCAAGAUUUAUGUUAUAUAAAAGAAAUCAGAUCAAGAUACAGCGUAUAGAUAAGAAGAGAUGGGUUACAAUAAAUUUAUUUGAUGGUUAGAUUAUUUAACAAUAAUUUAUAAAUUGGAUUUGAUAGUAAUAUAAUUUAGUUUAAUUAUAUGAUUAUAGCUCUAAAAUAUGCACAUAUCGCCCGUCGCUCCUUCCUUAAAGAAGGAUAAGUCGUAACAUAGUAGGUGUACUGGAAAGUGUACCUAGAAUGGCAAAUUAGAGCUUGAUAGAAAGCAUUUUAUUUACAUUAAGAAGUUAGUUGUGAGAAUCGAUUUAAUUUGAAAUUACAAAUUUAUUGAUUGAUUGAUUUUAAAAAAAAUAAUUUUUAUAUUAGUAUAGUUAAGAAAAUAGUAUUAUAAUUAUAGUGAAAAGUAUAGAGAUAGAAAUUUGAAUUAUUGUUGAUAUUAAUUAGUAAAAAGAAGAGUUAAUUUUUUGUACCUUGUGUAUCAGGGUUUAUUAAAAUAAGUUAAUUAUAUUAAUAUUCUCGAAUUAGAAAGAGCUAUUAUUAUAUAUAUAUAAUUGUUGCAAAAAUUUUUAAAAUAUAAUAAUAGGAAUGAAACGUUAGUCGUUUUUUAAGAUAUCUAGUUUCUUAAGAAAUAAAUUUAAUUUAGCUUUUUAAUAUUAUAGUAUUACUUGGUUAGUGUUAUAAUUUAAGAAUGUAAUAUUUUAGGGGAUAAGCUUUAAGAUAGAGUAUUAAAAAUUAUUUGUUAUUAAUUGAAAGUUAGUAGGAUUGGAAAUGUUUUUCUAUAGUUUGUUAUAAUUAAUUUUUAAUUGAAUAAGAUUUAUAUAAUAUUUAAGUGUUUUAUUAAGAUUGUUUAUUUAGUUUUAUUUUAUAUGUAAUAAUGAUAAAAUUAGUAUAAGUAUGAUGUAUGAUAUAAUUAUAGUAUAAAGGUUAAGUUAAGGAACUCGGCAAAUAUAUUUUUCGCCUGUUUAUUAAAAACAUGUCUUUUUGAUUAUAAUUUAAAGUCUAACCUGCCCAAUGAGGAGUUAAAUGGCCGCGGUAAUUUGACCGUGCAAAGGUAGCAUAAUCAUUAGUUUUUUAAUUGAAAGCUGGUAUGAAUGGUUGGACGAGAAAAUAACUGUCUCAAUUUAAUUUUAAUUAGAAUUUUAUUUAUAAGUAAAAAAGCUUAUAUAAAUUUAAAAGACGAGAAGACCCUAUAGAAUUUUAUAUUUUUUUGUAUAUUAAUAUAAUAGUAUUAUAAAGUUAUUAUGUAAGAAAAUAUUUUGUUGGGGCGACAGAAAAAUUCAAUAAACUUUUUUUUUAUUUAUUCAUUAAUGUAUGAUUUUAUGAUCCAUUGUUUAUGAUUAAAAGAUUAAAUUACCUUAGGGAUAACAGCGUAAUUUUUUUUUAGAGUUCUUAUCGAAAAAAGAGUUUGCGACCUCGAUGUUGGAUUAAAAUUAACUUUAGGUGUAGGGGCUUAAAGGUUAGGUCUGUUCGACCUUUAAAAUUUUACAUGAUCUGAGUUCAAACCGGAGA
Molecule: ribosomal RNA, 1722 nt
Filed under: Cheiroplatys sp. NLG-2014
Lineage: Eukaryota; Metazoa; Arthropoda; Insecta; Coleoptera; Scarabaeidae
Description: partial 16S ribosomal RNA
Rfam family: Archaeal large subunit ribosomal RNA (bases 1574-1722)
Source: RNAcentral